This 24-nucleotide non-coding RNA is filed under the name Arabidopsis thaliana (thale cress). Lineage: Eukaryota; Viridiplantae; Streptophyta; Magnoliopsida; Brassicales; Brassicaceae. The record is from RNAcentral.
GUGAGUAUCACCUAUGAACAUGCU